UCCUCCUUUACAGCUUUAAUUGUCUGGAGCCCGGUGUUGUUGUGGCCAAGGAGCUUCCACUCCGAUGGAACCUGGUUUCAGCUGCUGUGCAAUGUUGACGUCCUUCCUCCCAGAGACUUAUCCUCUUCUAAACGACCAGACUGGAGACGAAGACCUGAACACGAAUCCUCUAACCUGAGAACAUCAAGAGAGAGAGCUCCUCCUUCAACUCCGUCACCAGGCUGAACAGACCCUCAUUGACCCCUGACCUCUGACCUGUGAUGUCAUCCCCAGGGUCACCCUCAUUCCAGUCAGCGCUGCUCACACACAGCUCUAGAGGAGAGCUACUGUCCCC
This is a non-coding RNA of Oncorhynchus mykiss (rainbow trout), 334 nucleotides long. Lineage: Eukaryota; Metazoa; Chordata; Actinopteri; Salmoniformes; Salmonidae. The record is from RefSeq and is a predicted model, not a curated record.